This 253-nucleotide ribosomal RNA is filed under the name uncultured bacterium. RNAcentral's name for it is "partial 16S ribosomal RNA". It matches the Rfam family "Bacterial small subunit ribosomal RNA", at positions 524 to 776 of the family's 1533-position model. The record is from RNAcentral.
AACGUAGGUGGCGAGCGUUAUCCGGAUUUACUGGGCGUAAAGGGUGCGUAGGCGGCGCGGUAAGUCGGGUGUGAAAUCUCGGGGCUUAACUCCGAAACUGCAUUCGAUACUGCCGUGCUUGAGGACUGGAGAGGAGACUGGAAUUUACGGUGUAGCGGUGAAAUGCGUAGAUAUCGUAAGGAAGACCAGUGGCGAAGGCGGGUCUCUGGACAGUUCCUGACGCCGAGGCACGAAGGCCAGGGGAGCAAACGGG